UACGGAGGGUGCAAGCGUUAAUCGGAAUUACUGGGCGUAAAGCGUACGUAGGCGGCUUGUUAAGCAAGAUGUGAAAUCCCCGGGCUCAACCUGGGAAUGGCAUUUUGAACUGGCAGGCUCGAGUUCUGAAGAGGGUGGUAGAAUUUCCAGUGUAGCGGUGAAAUGCGUAGAUAUUGGAAGGAAUACCGGUGGCGAAGGCGGCUACCUGGACCAACACUGACACUGAGGUGCGAAAGCGUGGGGAGCAAACAGG
Molecule: ribosomal RNA, 253 nt
Filed under: uncultured microorganism
Description: partial 16S ribosomal RNA
Rfam family: Bacterial small subunit ribosomal RNA
Source: RNAcentral